Molecule: ribosomal RNA, 482 nt
Filed under: uncultured bacterium
Lineage: Bacteria
Description: partial 16S ribosomal RNA
Rfam family: Bacterial small subunit ribosomal RNA
Source: RNAcentral
GACGAACGCUGGCGGCGUGCCUAACACAUGCAAGUCGAACGGAACUGUUUUGAAAGAUUUCUUCGGAAUGAAUUUGAUUUAGUUUAGUGGCGGAGGGGUGAGUAACGCGUGAGUAACCUGCCUUCAAGAGGGGAAUAACAUUCUGAAAAGAAUGCUAAUACCGCAUGACAUAUCGGAACCACAUGGUUUUGAUAUCAAAGAUUUUAUCGCUUGAAGAUGGACUCGCGUCCGAUUAGUUAGUUGGUGAGGUAACGGCUCACCAAGACCGCGAUCGGUAGCCGGACUGAGAGGUUGAACGGCCACAUUGGGACUGAGACACGGCCCAGACUCCUACGGGAGGCAGCAGUGGGGGAUAUUGCGCAAUGGGGGCAACCCUGACGCAGCAACGCCGCGUGAAGGAUGAAGGUUUUCGGAUUGUAAACUUCUUUUAUUAAGGACGAAAAAUGACGGUACUUAAUGAAUAAGCUCCGGCUAACUACGUG